UGGACUCUAGCUGCCAAAGACGCUUCUCCUUCUAAACAGAGCGCUUUGCUCAGCCAGUGUAGACAU
RNAcentral lists this microRNA precursor (66 nucleotides) under Erinaceus europaeus (western European hedgehog). Its description in RNAcentral is "mir-1251 microRNA precursor family". It matches the Rfam family "mir-1251 microRNA precursor family". The record is from Rfam by way of RNAcentral. Lineage: Eukaryota; Metazoa; Chordata; Mammalia; Eulipotyphla; Erinaceidae.